Molecule: long non-coding RNA, 332 nt
Organism: Carassius auratus (goldfish)
Lineage: Eukaryota; Metazoa; Chordata; Actinopteri; Cypriniformes; Cyprinidae
Exons: 3
Source: RefSeq, a predicted model, not a curated record
CCGCAGAUGUGAGAGAGGAACCAGCAGCUAAGAAAAAGGGACAGCUCACAGACCUACCAAAUGAUCUAAAGUUGUGGAAUGAAAGAAAAAUUGAACAUCUACAGCGUGUGAUAAAUCAGCUGAGAGAAGAGAACAUGAAUUUAAAUAAAGAAAAUGAGAGGCUGAAAAAUGAAAUACUUAAAAAAAUCCCACCUCUCCUUCUGGCUACAGAGCACUUACUACAGGAGGUUAGAAUAAUUGUUUACAUGAUGUAACAGUUAUGCCUUAAUUUAUUUUACUAAUGACAAUGCUCCACAUUUCCUUGCCUUUUAAAACUUUUUAAGACCUUUGGA